This 71-nucleotide transfer RNA is filed under the name Candidatus Pacearchaeota archaeon. RNAcentral's name for it is "tRNA-Gly". It matches the Rfam family "tRNA". Rfam says of the family: Transfer RNA (tRNA) molecules are approximately 80 nucleotides in length. Their secondary structure includes four short double-helical elements and three loops (D, anti-codon, and T loops). Further hydrogen bonds mediate the characteristic L-shaped molecular structure. tRNAs have two regions of fundamental functional importance: the anti-codon, which is responsible for specific mRNA codon recognition, and the 3' end, to which the tRNAs corresponding amino acid is attached (by aminoacyl-tRNA synthetases). tRNAs cope with the degeneracy of the genetic code in two manners: having more than one tRNA (with a specific anti-codon) for a particular amino acid; and 'wobble' base-pairing, i.e. permitting non-standard base-pairing at the 3rd anti-codon position. The record is from RNAcentral. Lineage: Archaea; Nanobdellati.
GCGCCAUUGGUUUAAUGGUAGAACCUCUGAUUUCCAAUCAGAAGGUAGGGGUUCGAUUCCCCUAUGGCGCA